UACGUAGGGUGCAAGCGUUAAUCGGAAUUACUGGGCGUAAAGCGUGCGCAGGCGGUCUUGCAAGACAGAUGUGAAAUCCCCGGGCUCAACCUGGGAACUGCAUUUGUGACUGCAUCGCUGGAGUGCGGCAGAGGGGGAUGGAAUUCCGCGUGUAGCAGUGAAAUGCGUAGAUAUGCGGAGGAACACCGAUGGCGAAGGCAAUCCCCUGGGCCUGCACUGACGCUCAUGCACGAAAGCGUGGGGAGCAAACAGG
Molecule: ribosomal RNA, 253 nt
Filed under: uncultured bacterium
Lineage: Bacteria
Description: partial 16S ribosomal RNA
Rfam family: Bacterial small subunit ribosomal RNA
Source: RNAcentral